Molecule: ribosomal RNA, 498 nt
Filed under: uncultured bacterium
Lineage: Bacteria
Description: partial 16S ribosomal RNA
Rfam family: Bacterial small subunit ribosomal RNA
Source: RNAcentral
AUUGAACGCUGGCGGCAUGCCUUACACAUGCAAGUCGAACGGUAACAGGUCUUCGGAUGCUGACGAGUGGCGAACGGGUGAGUAAUACAUUGGAACGUGCCUAGUAGUGGGGGAUAACUACUCGAAAGAGUGGCUAAUACCGCAUGAGAUCUACGGAUGAAAGCAGGGGAUCGCAAGACCUUGUGCUACUAGAGCGGCCGAUGGCAGAUUAGGUAGUUGGUGGGAUAAAAGCUUACCAAGCCGACGAUCUGUAGCUGGUCUGAGAGGACGAUCAGCCACACUGGGACUGAGAAACGGCCCAGACUCCUACGGGAGGCAGCAGUGGGGAAUUUUGGACAAUGGGCGAAAGCCUGAUCCAGCAAUGCCGCGUGCAGGAUGAAGGCCUUCGGGUUGUAAACUGCUUUUGUACGGAACGGAAAGCCCCGGGUUAAUACCCUGGGGUCAUGACGGUACCGUAAGAAUAAGCACCGGCUAACUACGUGCCAGCAGCCGCCGUAA